UAAGGAAUAUUGGACAAUGGAGGCAACUCUGACCCAGCCAUGCCGCGUGAAGGAAUAAGGCCCUAUGGGUUGUAAACUUCUUUUAGACGGGACAAAACCCCUUUACGUGUAAAGGGUUGAUGGUACUGUCAGAAUAAGCAUCGGCUAACUUCGUGCCAGCAGCCGCGGUAAUACGAAGGAUGCAAGCGUUAUCCGGAAUUAUUGGGUUUAAAGGGUGCGUAGGCGGACUAAUAAGUCAGUGGUGAAAGCCUGCAGCUUAACUGCAGAAUUGCCAUUGAUACUGUUAGUCUUGAGUACAGUUGAGGUAGGCGGAAUGUGUCAUGUAGCGGUGAAAUGCUUAGAUAUGACACAGAACACCGAUUGCGAAGGCAGCUUGCUAAGCUGUAACUGACGCUGAGGCACGAAAGCGUGGGGAGCAAACA
Molecule: ribosomal RNA, 422 nt
Filed under: uncultured bacterium
Lineage: Bacteria
Description: bacterial SSU rRNA
Rfam family: Bacterial small subunit ribosomal RNA
Source: RNAcentral